RNAcentral lists this ribosomal RNA (331 nucleotides) under Oedaleus manjius. RNAcentral describes it as "partial 12S ribosomal RNA". Lineage: Eukaryota; Metazoa; Arthropoda; Insecta; Orthoptera; Acrididae. The record is from RNAcentral.
AAUAGUUAAGGUCUUUAAACCCAAAGAAUUUGGCGGUAUUUUAUUCUGUUUAGAGGAACCUAUUUCGUAAUUGAUAGUACACGAUUUACUUUACUUAAUUUAUUUGUUUGUAUAUCUCCGUUAUCAGAAAAUCUUAUUGGAGUUAUAAUUUUCUUAUUAUUUCACUAAAUUUUAUUUCAGGUCAAGGUGCAGCUUAUAAUUAAGAGUAAUAUGGGUUACAAUAAUUUUAUAUUAUUAUGGAUUUAAUUUUGGAAUAUUUUAAUGAAGGUGGAUUUAAUAGUAAUUUGAAUAAUUUAAUUCAAUUGAUAUUGGCUCUAAAAUGUGUACACAU